ACUGUAGUAGGAAUAGAAUGGAAUAAUGCCAGAAACAAAAACAAAAUAUCUCUUUCGUUAACAAGCACUUAUAAACAUAAAUAAAAAAAAUAAAAUUAAUAAAUUUUUGGCCUUGCAAGGUAAUAUGAAUCUGUCUGCUGCAAAUUUUAAUUUUUGGUACGAUUCGUACGAUUGUGGUAGAAGAAGGAAGACGAUGGAAAUUGACGAGCAUCUAUAUAUAAAGUAAGGGGUUAUGAUGAAAGAUGUCCUUUUAGCCGGUUCGUUUUUAUAAUGUACAAAUCAAAGCAAUUGACUCAAUAAUCAACUUUUGGCAUAGGAAAAGGGUUACUUGCACAGCAAUUCGAGCUUAAACCGCUUCCAUUUGGAGGUCCAUCUCCUCGGUCAAAUUACUAUCUUUUGAAGGAGCAACAGGCUCGUUUUUCUCAUGAGCAUUGGCUAUUGACGGUGUGAAAUCCUGUGAUGAGUGAGAUGACACAGUUGAAGCAGCGUGAAAUGACAUUGCGUAUUCGUCAAGUUCUUUGUCUAAAUCUUCGUGUGAAAUUGAAUUAUUAGAAGACUUUUUUGAAGAAGAACGAAAUGAUCUGUCGUCUUUUUUUGAAGAACGGUUGAAUCCUCGGUUCGAACGAGAAGACCGGCUUGGUUUGCGGGCUGAAUGUGGCAUGUCGGAAAUCCGAUCGAAUAAGGAAGGUGGAGACUUUUUCGAAAUUUGAAUUUCGGAGCCCUUCAAGUUCGUAGAUUGAAGCGUCUUCUGGGCAUCUUCAGCAUCUUGGGAAGUUUCAAAGUAAACAUCGCAGGAGCCUUCAGAGCGACCUGCACGAUCAUAGUUCAUAAUCACGCGAAUUGGAUGGAAAUUUUCAAACAAAGACUUAAGAAAAGGUUAGUUUAUUAAUAAAAAAAGCGAUUCGAAAUCGGAACAAAGCUCUACUUAGCUUGACAGGGAGAUUUUUUGUCAGGUUCGUUUCAUAAUCUUCAAUCGAAAACUAAAAGCGAGGCUUUUGAAAACAUAGUAAACAUAUAUCACUUACCAAAACAUCUUUUUCCAAAACCUGAUAAUGUAAGUUUUCCACACGAACCCCAAAUCGAUUUUCUGAGCUAAGAUUGCUGUGUUAGUAUAUAAUGAUAAUAACAGUGCAUGUAGACUAAGAGCUAAUAGAGUAAUAAAAAAGUUUACAGCUUAUCUU
Molecule: non-coding RNA, 1181 nt
Organism: Schizosaccharomyces pombe (fission yeast)
Lineage: Eukaryota; Fungi; Ascomycota; Schizosaccharomycetes; Schizosaccharomycetales; Schizosaccharomycetaceae
Source: the annotation of a GenBank genome assembly